GGGGGUUUCCGCCCCUUAGUGCUGCAGCUAACGCAUUAAGCACUCCGCCUGGGGAGUACGACCGCAAGGUUGAAACUCAAAGGAAUUGACGGGGGCCCGCACAAGCGGUGGAGCAUGUGGUUUAAUUCGAAGCAACGCGAAGAACCUUACCAGGUCUUGACAUCCUUUGACCACUCUGGAGACAGAGCUUUCCCUUCGGGGACAAAGUGACAGGUGGUGCAUGGUUGUCGUCAGCUCGUGUCGUGAGAUGUUGGGUUAAGUCCCGCAACGAGCGCAACCCUUGAUUUUAGUUGCCAGCAUUUAGUUGGGCACUCUAAAGUGACUGCCGGUGCAAGCCGGAGGAAGGUGGGGAUGACGUCAAAUCAUCAUGCCCCUUAUGACCUGGGCUACACACGUGCUACAAUGGAUAGUACAAAGGGUCGCGAAGCCGCGAGGUGGAGCUAAUCCCAUAAAACUAUUCUCAGUUCGGAUUGUAGGCUGCAACUCGCCUACAUGAAGCCGGAAUCGCUAGUAAUCGUGGAUCAGCAUGCCACGGUGAAUACGUUCCCGGGCCUUGUACACACCGCCCGUCACACCACGAGAGUUUGUAACACCCGAAGUCGGUAGGGUAACCUUUAUGGAGCCAGCCGCCGAAGGUGGGACAGAUAAUUGGGGUGAAGUCGUAACAAGGUAGCCGUAUCGGAAGGUGC
RNAcentral lists this ribosomal RNA (689 nucleotides) under Listeria monocytogenes. Its description in RNAcentral is "bacterial SSU rRNA". It matches the Rfam family "Bacterial small subunit ribosomal RNA", at positions 826 to 1515 of the family's 1533-position model. The record is from RNAcentral. Lineage: Bacteria; Bacillati; Bacillota; Bacilli; Caryophanales; Listeriaceae.